UACGGAGGGGGCGAGCGUUAUUCGGAAUUAUUGGGCGUAAAGGGCGCGUAGGCGGCUUGAUGUGUCAAAGGUGAAAUCCCUCGGCUCAACUGAGGAACUGCCUUUGAAACUGUCUGGCUUGAGGCCGGGAGAGGGUAGCGGAAUUCCCAGUGUAGCGGUGAAAUGCGUAGAUAUCAAGAGGAACACCUGAGGUGAAGACGGGUUGCUGGGCCAACACUGACGCUGAUGCGCGAAAGCCAGGGGAGCGAACGGG
This 253-nucleotide ribosomal RNA is filed under the name uncultured bacterium. RNAcentral's name for it is "partial 16S ribosomal RNA". It matches the Rfam family "Bacterial small subunit ribosomal RNA", at positions 524 to 776 of the family's 1533-position model. The record is from RNAcentral.